ACAAUCACUUUUGAUCAUAGAUUGUAAAUAGUAUUUCAAGAUGUCCUAAGUACAUAUCUUUGUGUAUACAUAAGUGUAUAUAAGACGUAUAACCAGAGACUAUUUGUGGGUUAAAGUAAUUCAUAUUUUCUCUAUCUCAAGAAAUAGAUUACCUGUAUUUUCAUCCUGUUUGUCCUGAAGGUUUUUUUCCUGUGUGUGUGUGUGUGUGUGCGUGCAUGCAUGCGCGCGUGUGUGUGUGUGUGUGUGUGUGUGUGUGUCAGUUACUCGACUUGGUUCAUGACUCUUCUAGCUGUUUCAAAGAAAAGGUGUUUCAGGGACCGGCUUUAAAGAAACCGACACAUUUCACCUCCCAACACUUGCGAGUCUUUUGCUGGGAGACUCUGGUGUUUGGAUCUUAGAUGAAUAUGCAAAAGCCGUUUUUGACUCUGAAGCCCCGUGUUUUUUCGUGCACAAGUGAAUACUUGCUGCCAUGUGCCAAUGUGUACCUUUAGUGUGUUUGUAACUGUGUUGCCUUAGUAUAAAUUUGCCAGUAUUGUCUAGUCCCCCCCCCUCCCCCUCCCCUCAAAGGGGCGGUUGUGCACUUUAGCGUAUACACAUGACCUAAUAACGUCUGAUGUCCGAUCGUUGUUCAUAAGUUGAUGUUUAAAAAAAACAACUAAAAUACUCAAAUGUAACUUGGUCUGAAUGUGACACGAGUCAAGGGUCCUUUUUUUAUUUUACCGUUUUUUGUAGACGUGCCAAAGGUUCUGCAGAAAUCAGCCGUCAUUUUAGAUGAAUUAAUCCCGAUCAGCAGAUAAACGAAUGGGCCUCAACGCGGUGACGCGGGCGACGCCGGCUUCGUCGACGCGGGAGCGUCAGCGCGGCGCCCUACCCCCCCCCCCCGACGUGUUCUUCUCUCGCUGCUGCUGCUAGACUCGCCUCCUCUGCACGUGCAUGCGAUGCCUUGCCUGUCCAGCUUGUUCGAUAUCUCCUAUCUAUUUCUAUACAUGUAAACACAUAUAUAUAUAUAUAUAUACACAGUCUGUGUAGCUCCUGUAAUUAGCUUUAGCGUCCCACGUGUAGCUUUAGCCUGUAGAUUAGUGCGCUGUCGCUAUCGCCUUUACGCGCGAUUCUCUGUUUUCUCGGGCUUCCUGUCAAAGUUUCUCCGUGCCGCAAGCAUGCUGACCUCGCCUAGCAUUGUGACCCUCUCCGCGCUCGAUCUGACUCUCUCUCUCUCUCCUCCGUCUGUAUCCUUCUGCUUGAAGACUGUCGCCGCUCUGAACGUAAAGUAUUAUAUACCCGUGUAUCUAUCUAUCUAUCUAUCUAUGUGUGUGAAGUCCCUCAGCAUGUCUCUCUGAAAGCUCUUCUCUGCGCCUGUAGCACCUUUUUCUCUUUCUCUUCCCGCUUCGCCCUCCUCUAGCAGUGACCUCGUGACCUCUCGCCGUCCCCCCUGACACUCCUCGGGCCGCUGCGCUGUCGCUCUGUUUCUUUUUGGCGUGUCUGAGGCGGCGCGUCGCCGUCCAUGUUUCGUUUUUUCGCCGAGAGGCCCUUGACUCGGGAUCGAUAAGAUGUAGAAUUGAUUGUCCAGAAACGCGUCCAACGCAAGUGUUUUUUAAGCCUCUUAACGGAAAAAUAAUGAAUAUAAACCCUGGUUUCUUGCUUGCGGGAAUAAAUUGUUUGUCGAACAGUUAAAAUCCCCGCCGCAGGUGACGUAUGAUUUGACGUCGUAUGUUGUGCAAACUGCUGCGCUAGCUUCUCUCCAACACUCACCUGUCCUGAACUGUACGUUACUAUUGGGAAAAAAGAAAUAAAUAUUGUCGAAAACAAA
This is a long non-coding RNA of Gasterosteus aculeatus aculeatus (three-spined stickleback), 1807 nucleotides long. Lineage: Eukaryota; Metazoa; Chordata; Actinopteri; Perciformes; Gasterosteidae. The record is from Ensembl.